GUCAGGAUAGUCAUGACGGAUUUUUGUCACCAACUGCUCCAAGUCGAACGUUCCAUCGGGAAAUGUGUUCACGGUGGUGGCGUGCACGCCGGCCAGCUGUGUCAAAACACAAACAUAGGUUUCAGUAUUAGUGUUUUUCCUCUUUCAUUUU
Long non-coding RNA from Thalassophryne amazonica, 151 nucleotides. RefSeq lists it as uncharacterized. The transcript has 3 exons. Lineage: Eukaryota; Metazoa; Chordata; Actinopteri; Batrachoidiformes; Batrachoididae. The record is from RefSeq and is a predicted model, not a curated record.